GACGAACGCUGGCGGCGUGCUUAACACAUGCAAGUCGAACGAUGAAACCUAGCUUGCUAGGUCGAUUAGUGGCGGACGGGUGAGUAACACGUGACUAACCUGCCCCUUUCUCUGGGAUAACGCUCCGAAAGGAGUGCUAAUACCGGAUACUCACACCGAGGCACAUGCCUUGGUGUGGAAAGUUUUUCGGAAAGGGAUGGAGUCGCGGCCUAUCAGCUUGUUGGUGAGGUAACGGCUCACCAAGGCGGCGACGGGUAGCCGGCCUGAGAGGGCGACCGGCCACACUGGGACUGAGACACGGCCCAGACUCCUACGGGAGGCAGUAGUGGGGAAUAUUGCACAAUGGGCGCAAGCCUGAUGCAGCGACGCCGCGUGGGGGAUGAAGGUCUUCGGAUUGUAAACCUCUUUCAGUAGGGACGAAGCGAAAGUGACGGUACCUAAAGAAGAAGCACCGGCUAACUACGUGCCAGCAGCCGCGGUAA
This 482-nucleotide ribosomal RNA is filed under the name uncultured bacterium. Its description in RNAcentral is "partial 16S ribosomal RNA". It matches the Rfam family "Bacterial small subunit ribosomal RNA", at positions 28 to 523 of the family's 1533-position model. The record is from RNAcentral.